AGUGAACGCUGGCGGUAGGCCUAACACAUGCAAGUCGAACGGCAGCACAGUAAGAGCUUGCUCUUACGGGUGGCGAGUGGCGGACGGGUGAGGAAUACAUCGGAAUCUACUUUUUCGUGGGGGAUAACGUAGGGAAACUUACGCUAAUACCGCAUACGACCUACGGGUGAAAGCAGGGGAUCUUCGGACCUUGCGCGAUUGAAUGAGCCGAUGUCGGAUUAGCUAGUUGGCGGGGUAAAGGCCCGCCAAGGCGACGAUCCGUAGCUGGUCUGAGAGGAUGAUCAGCCACACUGGAACUGAGACACGGUCCAGACUCCUACGGGAGGCAGCAGUGGGGAAUUUUGGACAAAGGGCGCAAGCCUGAUCCAGCAAUGCCGCGUGAGUGAAGAAGGCCUUCGGGUUGUAAAGCCCUUUUGUUGGGAAAGAAAAGCAGCAGGUUAAUACCGCGCUGUUCUGACGGUACCCAAAGAAUAAGCACCGGCUAACUUCGUG
Molecule: ribosomal RNA, 492 nt
Filed under: uncultured bacterium
Lineage: Bacteria
Description: partial 16S ribosomal RNA
Rfam family: Bacterial small subunit ribosomal RNA
Source: RNAcentral